This 23-nucleotide non-coding RNA is filed under the name Arabidopsis thaliana (thale cress). Lineage: Eukaryota; Viridiplantae; Streptophyta; Magnoliopsida; Brassicales; Brassicaceae. The record is from RNAcentral.
GGAGACCAAGGAUAAACUGUGCA